GAUGAAGAACGUAGUAAAAUGCGAUAAGUAAUGUGAAUUGCAGAAUUCAGUGAAUCAUCGAAUCUUUGAACGCACAUUGCGCCCGCCAGUAUUCUGGCGGGCAUGCCUGUUCGAGCGUCAUUUCAACCCUCAAGCACAGCUUGGUGUUGGGACUCGCGUUAAUUCGCGUUCCCCAAAUUGAUUGGCGGUCACGUCGAGCUUCCAUAGCGUAGUAGUAAAACCCUCGUUACUGGUAAUCGUCGCGGCCACGCCGUUAAACCCCACCUUCUGAAUGUUGACCUCGGAUCAGGUAGGAAUACCCGCUGAACUUAAGCAUAUCAAUAAGCGGAGGA
RNAcentral lists this unclassified non-coding RNA (332 nucleotides) under soil metagenome. RNAcentral's name for it is "partial contains 5.8S ribosomal RNA, internal transcribed spacer 2, and large subunit ribosomal RNA". The stretch from base 1 to 120 matches the Rfam family "5.8S ribosomal RNA", at positions 35 to 154 of the family's 154-position model. The record is from RNAcentral.